AUGGCAGAAGAAAGAGCAUCUGACAAAAUGGCAUCUGAUAUGGAAGAGUAUAUUUGGCAAAGGUGUGUCACUGAAUUCCUCCACAUGGAAAAAAUGGCACUCAUUGACAUUCACUGACUGUUACUGAAUGUUUAUGGAGACCAAACAGUGGAUUAGAGCUCAGUGCAACAGUGAGUGGUGUGUUUUAGCAAUGGUGACAGCAGCAUGAAAGACAAGCCAUGACCCUGAUGGCCAUACACAACUGUUGCACCACAAAAUAAAGAAUCUCUCAAUAUAUCAUCAUCAGAUUUAUAAUGCUGAUUUUAUGAAGUAGAACUAUACAGAGAAGUUGGAAGUGAACAGUGCUCAGAAAAUGCACCAGAAAUUACUCUGUCCAGGGGACUGUGCCUAUAUUGCUACAAAAAGAAAGGCAGAGCCUCAGGACUGCUGAAUUGGAUAUUUGCGACAUGUUGAAGAACUUAAAAGAGUAAAUGUGAAAGGUGCAAAGUAUCUUUUGAAGAAUAAGAGCUUCCUCUUUCUAAAAGAAAACUAACCAAG
RNAcentral lists this long non-coding RNA (537 nucleotides) under Gallus gallus (chicken). Its description in RNAcentral is "lncRNA (ENSGALG00010001076.1)". Lineage: Eukaryota; Metazoa; Chordata; Aves; Galliformes; Phasianidae. The record is from RNAcentral.